This 206-nucleotide long non-coding RNA is filed under the name Olea europaea (common olive). RNAcentral describes it as "long non-coding RNA (OEUR_LNC005959)". The record is from RNAcentral. Lineage: Eukaryota; Viridiplantae; Streptophyta; Magnoliopsida; Lamiales; Oleaceae.
AAGAAUAAGUGUUUAUAAACUGCUACAUUUAGCAAGUUUUAUAGUAUCAUGCAAUUUGGUAUGCGUUGAUUCUGCCAUAACCUCAAACAAAAUAAUUACCUGAGGCAGCAAUGUAGUCAAUCAUUCUAAGAAAAUACCCAAUACAAGCACCAUACUGGCAGCCAACCCUCGGGUUGUACAGCAAUGGCCAAAGUUACCAAUAUUCC